AUUGAACGCUGGCGGCAGGCUUAACACAUGCAAGUCGAGCGGAAACGGAGGUAGCUUGCUACCAGACGUCGAGCGGCGAACGGGUGAGUAACGCGUAGGAAUCUACCUAGUAGAGGGGGAUAGCCCGGGGAAACUCGGAUUAAUACCGCAUACGCCCUAAGGGGGAAAGCAGGGGAUCUUCGGACCUUGCGCUAUUAGAUGAGCCUGCGUCGGAUUAGCUAGUUGGUAGGGUAAAGGCCUACCAAGGCGACGAUCCGUAGCUGGUCUGAGAGGAUGAUCAGCCACACUGGAACUGAGACACGGUCCAGACUCCUACGGGAGGCAGCAGUGGGGAAUAUUGGACAAUGGGGGCAACCCUGAUCCAGCCAUGCCGCGUGUGUGAAGAAGGCC
This 390-nucleotide ribosomal RNA is filed under the name uncultured bacterium. RNAcentral's name for it is "bacterial SSU rRNA". It matches the Rfam family "Bacterial small subunit ribosomal RNA", at positions 30 to 416 of the family's 1533-position model. The record is from RNAcentral.